GUGCUCACUUUGGCAGCACACAUACUAAAAUUAGAACGAUACACAGAAGAUUAGCAUGGCCCCUGUGCAAGGACGACAUGCAAAUUUGUGAAGCAUUUCGUAUUUUU
This is a small nuclear RNA of Camelus dromedarius (Arabian camel), 107 nucleotides long. The record is from Ensembl. Lineage: Eukaryota; Metazoa; Chordata; Mammalia; Artiodactyla; Camelidae.